GACGAACGUUGGCGGCGUGCUUAAUACAUGCAAGUCAACUGAAGCAGUGGUAGCAAUAUCGCUGUGGAGGUGGCGCACGGGUGAGUAACACGUAGGUAAUCUGCCUUCAGGUCUGGCAUAACUCCGGGAAACCGGGGCUAAUAGCAGAUGAUGCAGCGGCUCGACAUCGAGACAGUUGUUAAAGCUAUGGCGCCUGAAGAUGAGCCUGCGUCUGAUUAGCUAGUUGGCGGGGUAACGGCCCACCAAGGCAACGAUCAGUAGCUGGUCUGAGAGGAUGAUCAGCCACACUGGAACUGAGACACGGUCCAGACUCCUAUGGGAGGCAGCAGUAAGGAAUAUUGCUCAAUGGGAGAAAUCCUGAAGCAGCAACGCCGCGUGAGGGACGAAGGGCUUUUGCUUGUAAACCUCUGUAGUGAGAGAAAAAAAUCCCAAUCUUUGGGACAUGAUGGUAUCUCAAAAGUAAGCCCCGGCUAACUACGUG
RNAcentral lists this ribosomal RNA (481 nucleotides) under uncultured bacterium. RNAcentral's name for it is "partial 16S ribosomal RNA". It matches the Rfam family "Bacterial small subunit ribosomal RNA", at positions 28 to 507 of the family's 1533-position model. The record is from RNAcentral.